UACGUAGGGUGCAAGCGUUAAUCGGAAUUACUGGGCGUAAAGCGUGCGCAGGCGGUUGUGCAAGACCGAUGUGAAAUCCCCGGGCUUAACCUGGGAAUGGCAUUGGUGACUGCACGGCUUGAGUUUGGCAGAGGAGACUGGAAUUCCUGGUGUAGCAGUGAAAUGCGUAGAUAUCAGGAGGAAUACCGAUGGCGAAGGCAGGUCUCUGGGCUGAAACUGACGCUCAUGCACGAAAGCGUGGGGAGCAAACAGG
Molecule: ribosomal RNA, 253 nt
Filed under: uncultured bacterium
Lineage: Bacteria
Description: partial 16S ribosomal RNA
Rfam family: Bacterial small subunit ribosomal RNA
Source: RNAcentral